CCCUUAGAUGUCCGGGGCUGCACGCGCGCUACACUGAAGGAAUCAGCGUGCUAAAACCAUUGUCGAAAGGCAUUGGUAAACCCAUUAAAAUCCUACGUGAUUGGGAUCGGGAAUUGCAAUUAUUUCCCUUGAACGAGGAAUUCCCAGUAAGUGUGGGUCAUAAGCUCGCGUUGAUUACGUCCCUGCCCUUUGUACACACCGCCCGUCGCUGCCCGGGACUGAGCCGUUUCGAGAAAAGCGGGGGCUGCUGCUGUCGGGGCUUUCGGGCCUUGGCUUCGGUGGAAACCGCUUUAAUCGCAGUGGCUUGAACCGGGCAAAAGUCGUANCA
This 328-nucleotide ribosomal RNA is filed under the name uncultured eukaryote. Its description in RNAcentral is "partial 18S ribosomal RNA". It matches the Rfam family "Eukaryotic small subunit ribosomal RNA", at positions 1470 to 1796 of the family's 1831-position model. The record is from RNAcentral.